CGAAGCUCCGGAAAGUGGGGGUCUAUCCUCACGCCGAAGGUGCAACCGGGCACGGAACAUGCGAAAGCAGGUUUCCCCUCGGGAAUCUCUCAGGCAAAGAACGGAGGCG
Molecule: non-coding RNA, 109 nt
Filed under: bovine gut metagenome
Description: Glycine riboswitch
Rfam family: Glycine riboswitch aptamer
About the family: This family represents the bacterial glycine riboswitch. Glycine riboswitches usually consist of two metabolite-binding aptamers domains with similar structures in tandem.
Source: RNAcentral